Molecule: long non-coding RNA, 595 nt
Filed under: Mus musculus (house mouse)
Lineage: Eukaryota; Metazoa; Chordata; Mammalia; Rodentia; Muridae
Description: long non-coding RNA chr4:53572439-53573034
Source: RNAcentral
UUUUUCCCCAUUUGUAUCUAUUUCCAGACUGGUGAAAUAAGUUUUUAUGUCCCAUCUUGUCUCUUUUCAUUAAAAAUAGAAGAACACAACUAAGACAUCCCAGUUUGGGAUCAUCUAACUUCAUGUUAUUCUGGAUUCUUUCUUGUUACGGUAUCACUACACUAUGCAUGUGAGGAAACAAACACGUAGGUGCUUGAACAUGCCCCACAGAUGCACUUGUAGCCCUGGUAUUUGUGACUGUCGUGACCAACGCAGUGCAGACUUUACACGUGGAACGUUACACUCUCACAGGACUUAAGAACUAUGUAUAUUAAGCAAUUCACUUUCUGGAGCGAUCAGCUCUUGCAGGCAAAUGAACUGCCUGGAGCGCUGAAUGGGAUGGAUUUCCAUCUGGCUUCACAGUUCAAUGAGCUGAUAUGAAAUGGAGCUUUGAAAUGUUUUAUCUGUGCAGAAAUAUGAACUAGAAAAAAAAAGUGCUGGUCUCAUGCUAAGUUUUCUCUGUGUAUAGACUCAGUUGCCAAAAUUAUAAUGAAAACUGUAUUUUAGUCUAACAAAUGUAUAGAAUUUUUUAAUGUAAUAAAUAAAAUUUUAUAGG